This is a non-coding RNA of Acanthosepion pharaonis, 112 nucleotides long. The record is from the annotation of a GenBank genome assembly. Lineage: Eukaryota; Metazoa; Mollusca; Cephalopoda; Sepiida; Sepiidae.
UACGGCCGUAUCACGUUGAAACAUUGGUUCCCGUACGAUCACCGAUCUUAAGCAUCGACAAGCCUGGUCAGUACCUAGAUGGGUGACCGUUUAAAAAUACCGGUUGCUGCAA